Leopardus geoffroyi (Geoffroy's cat) is the source of this 4254-nucleotide long non-coding RNA. RefSeq lists it as uncharacterized. Lineage: Eukaryota; Metazoa; Chordata; Mammalia; Carnivora; Felidae. The transcript is spliced from 3 exons. The record is from RefSeq and is a predicted model, not a curated record.
AAUAGGAUGGAGAGCCAGAGAGCAAGGGAUAAAUUUCUCUUAAAGUAUUCAUUCAUUCAUUCAACAAGGGUUUAUUGAGGUCCUCCCUGGAGUCAAGCUCGGUGCUGGCGUUAGAGACAUAGUCAGAAACAAAAUUAACAUGGCCUGUGUUCUCAGGGGUUUCCAGGCUACUGAGGGAGGCCAAGAAGGCAACAAAAUACUCAAUUACAAAUCCGAGUAAGUGCUUCAAGGAUAAAACGUAGAUAAUACAAAGGAGACAGAGGGUGAGAGGCAAGCUUCCUAUAUUUCCGUGGUCAAGGAAGGAGGUCACAUUCAAAACAAGACCUGAGGGCUGUGGAAUCAGUCCUGGAAAAACUUUCCAGGCUGGGAGACUUCUUUGAAGAGACCCGUGUGUUUAAGAAAUUAAGAUAAAUCCUGUGUCUGGACUAUGGAGGGGGGGCGGGGCGGGGACUGGGUGGGGGAAGGAGAGAAACAGGAAGUAAGAUUGGAGAAGUGAGCAGGAGCGUAGGAAAGGUUUUGGAUUUUAUUCCAAGUGAGGUGAGAAGUCACAGAGGGGACAACGCAUAGGGACAACUCCUCCUCCCCGUCUCAGAAACUCGGUGCCGUCACUUCCAGGGUGAAGGGAGGACCGUGUCCUUGAAAAGGAAGAAGGGACGAGUAUUUGGUUUCCUCUGAAACCUCGGAGCUUUUGAAAGAGUGGUGCCUGCUCUGAAUUCUACUGUGUCUGGUGUGGGAGUUAGGAUCUCAGGAUUAGCACCAUUAAUAUAUUCAAAUGGCCUUCAAAGGAGAACUUGAAGAAUGUCUUCAAAGGAGAACUUGAAGUUCUGAUGGGAGUAAUUGUGAAACCUUCAGAUAUGACUCAUCUUCCAUUGAACUGGCCUCUGGAGGCUCAGCCAGAGUGACUCAAAGUAAACACAUAUUCACUGAGCUUCUACUCAAUGCCCAGCACCACGAAGGAUGCCGUGGUGGCUGCAAAUGUCCUCAAGGACUUUACAAAGUAGGAUAUUGGGGAUGGCAGAAAGAGUGCAUUCGAACAAUCAGCCACGAUGUGGAUACCCCUCCCCGCUGGCCUUUGUCUGACAUAUCACACUGCGUGCAAAGUGGCCAAGGGCUGAGGACACAGAAGAGUUUGUGAACCGUUAGCGAGGCUUGGCCAGGCAAACAGGCGAGCGAGAAUAUGGAGAUUCUCCUCCCCACGGGACUGUUCCAGGACCCCAGGAAUAGAGCGGCCGACGGGGAUGGCCUGUCCGUGCCCAUCCUCUGUUCCUAUCGUUGGCAUCACACUUGUGCAAACGCCGGGGACCCUGGCUGUCAUGGUCCUUUUCCAAGCGUUCAGUUUCUUUGUAGGGGUGGAGGCCUUUCCCCAACAUCAUACCAACCGCAGAAGAGGAAGAAGAACAAGGCCGCACAAAGCCCGUGUAGAGAAAACUUGGGUGCUUCUGAGGUUGUAGGCGGGCGCAUUAGAGUUCAGAGUCUGGGCCUGUCACCUUGAGAGAGACAUUCGAUCUUAUUCUGUUCAAAUGAGCAAGUUGGACCCAAUGAACUCCAGCCAGUGAUGUCUCACUCCAACUAGGUGAUCCCACUUAUCCCGGAAGCAAGAGGCCCCAGGCCCUCCUGGUGGAAUGCCAUUUGUCCAAUAAAAUAGAGCCCGUCAGAAAGAUCCCAGCCAUCCUGUGUGAGGCCCCUAAGGCUUUGGCCUUGCCUUUAGUUAAAAAAAAAAAAAGAAAACAAAAACAAAACAAGCCAAUGGUAUGUUCCAGAAUACCGCUGUCUCACAAAUACUUUCCCAGUAUCAGUGGGUAAUAGUGGAAUCUGGAGGCAGGACUGACAGACGGGAGAAGGCCCUGCCUUCCUCCCCUGUGAUUUAGGGCUUCAUUCCACAGGCAUGUGCUGGCGUUUGUUUCAUGCCGGGGCAUGGUCACAGACAACAGGCCUUAAAUUCUCAGGAGUUAGCAUAGCCGUGACACAAGACAGGUUGAUUGCCUCAAAUGCUCUCUUAAUCAGCACUCUCAAACUGCUUCCUUCUUCCUGGGGGGUCAGGUCUCGGGUCAAAGUGUUGACUUGUUGUGUUUCCAACCAUUCCCAUCGUGGCAUGUUGACGACGCCACCCAGAAGAAGGUGCUUUUUGGCUUACGUUGGGGAUCUCCCUUAAUCGCGUAGCAGACCUGCGGCUACCUGAAGCCUCUCUCCCUUAGGCUUCCCGCUCCAAUGCGGUGUCGGCCAAAGGGCUCAGAUCUUACUUCCAGGUUCCCACACCACCUACAAUGCCAACCCUUCUGGUGCUCACCAUAGAGAAAAUCAGACCAAAGAGAAAUAACGUGUUAACGACAGUUGAGAUCUUUCUGAUGGGCUCUAUUUUAUUGGACAGAAUGGCAUUCCACCAAGAGCAGCUAGGGUCCCAUACUUCUAAGACAAGUGGGGCCGUCUAAUUCUUCCCCUUCCCCGUCAGGAAGGAGAAAACUCAGAAACUGGUUGUCAACAAGGAAGUGAAGUCAUGGUCCAAGGUGCACAGGGUCCUGCACCUUAUCCGUAGAAGCUACAGAAGAUGAGCUCGCUCCAGUUUUAUUCAACUCCAAGGAAAAUGAAAAAGCCAUCCUCUAAGAAGGAAACCCACUGGAAAGCAGAAGAGGCUGUGCCCUCUGGGUCUCUCUGUAACCGAAUCUGGCAGUCUACCUCUGGUACUCAGCAUGACCUUGAGAUGAAUUCCAACCCAUCCUGCAGCAUGGCACCAUGGGAAAGGAAGGCAUUAGAGCCGGAGAGCUGGGUGUUAUGGUUCUACCACGGGGGCGGGUUAUUCCACCAGUCUGAGUUUUGGUUUCUGUAGAGUGUAGACAAUAAUACUACCCUUUUUGCUUUAAGUAUUGGGGAUAAUACACAGAGGGUGUUUACCCAAGUCCUUGUCAUUCACUGUUUCAACAACACCCAUUCCCUGCGCACCUUUUCACGCCAUGCACUCCUCUGGGCACUGGCAAUGCACAGAGGCUGCAGGUUUUUUUUUUAGAGUAUGUGCUUUCCAACUCUUUAUUUUAGUUUAGGACAUCCUCCAUAUCUGAUCUUUCAAUGUAUUCAUUUUCGUGGAUGCAAAGCUACACAUCGGGGCUAAGGCACAUCCGCUCUGGCCCCACCAUCAGGUGUUGUUAGCCAUCGCCUGUGGCUAUUUUGGCUUUGCCAUCAUUUAGGGCUAAAGGUGUGUUUCCUGGGUUUUGCCCUUCUUUGCAAAACAAAAAGAAUGAGCUAAAAAAGCUCGAGUAUGGAAUACCACUUUAAUAUUACAGGCAUUCAGCUUUAUUGAAAAGACACCUUUGUUGUCCAGAUACCAGGAUCCUAACUUAGAGACAUUUAUGAAAAUGUCCACAGUUGUCAAAGACCUCGUCUCUGUUAAGUUAUAAAAGCAGCGAACACCAGAGAAGAUAAAAACAUGUUUUUAAGAGAGUCAAAGUGAUACAGAAGGGUUGGAAGUGAUGCCAUCAAUGUCUAUAGUUCUGGGGGGAAAUUUAAGUUGUUAAAGCCAGCUACUAGUGUGGACAAUGAUCGAACACUUUUUAUGUGUCCUGUUCCAAGUGUAUGAAUGAGUUGAACUCUCGCAUCGAGGAGGUAUCAUUCCCUCCCCCCAUCUUAAAGAUGAGAAAACUAGGCACAGAGGGAUUACAUAGCUAGGUUACAGGUAGUAAAUGGUAGGGUUGGGAUUUGAACCCAGGAAUCUGCAUAUCCCUGUCCUAGAUUGUAGCUUGCACAUUGGUUCCCAUGCAGCCUCGCUAUAGACUUAGGAACAAAUGGAUUGAUUCACAACGUUUUGAAAUCCAAUCUGCUUGGUAGUAGAGAAACUCCUGGCUAGACACUACUUACGAACUCUGGUUGUUGGGAUGCCAAAAUUGGGAGUUGCUUGGCCAGAAUCACCCACGGGGUGCCUACUACUCUAUUCCUUAAUAUCUGCUGAUAGUCAGAGAAUCUUAGGAAGAAAACAGAAGAAUUAAAUCUCGGUGGGGAAUUUAUUUUCUCUACCUUAAAAUUUUAUUGGAACACUAGCUGAUGGUCAAGUUAAAUGAAAUGUCAACAAACUCAAAAGAGCAAAGACCCUUGAAGGUACCUGGUAGGGGCUAGAUGUUACUGAACUGGCUGGCAGUCUGGGGCCUGAAAGAUGUCGAAGGAAAAAUGAGACGCAUAUUCGGUUACCGCAAGUAAUCUCUUUCUCAUUGGUGGGACAGAGGGCAGGGUCGCGUGCUGCCUGCCUGAACCACCAGGUUCUUUGCUUUU